UGGGUGGGUGGGUGGAUGGAUGAAGGAUGGAGAGAUGAACAGAUCAUUGAGGAAGUGCUAUCUAGUCUCCAUCUUCCAUUAAGCACCUACUAUGCAUCACGCACAAUGCAAAGAGCUUUGCCAACUGUGACCCUGAUGGAAGUCAGUCUUGUUAACCAUGUGGAGGCCUGUGGUUGGAACAGAAUCACAGUGAACUAGUCUGCUAGGCAAAUGACUUUGGGAUCUCUUUGGAAACGACCCCUUCUGCUGCCUUCCCAUGAUGACAGUUUUCUCCCACAAGCCCUGAAAAUAUUUAUGUUCAUAACAGCCUCCUCCAACAGCAACAGAAAUGGGGGCUGGGCAUGUCGCCUUCCCUCUGGGGUCUUAAUGCAGCCCUGGGGUGGAUGAGAGGAGGCUGAGGCUCCACACUUCCUGAUCAGGUGAGAAAAUUUCUGCCUCUAACUCAGCAUUUUCAGGGUGCAGAGUCAGCCAGGCAGGAAGUUUGCUGCUGCUGCCAGCUGGUGCCCCUAGGGCUGACCACGUGCCAGGGACCGGUCUCUGCAUGGCACUCAUGACCUGCCUACCACAGGAGGCAGGCAUUAUUACUGCUCUCGUUGUACAGAUGUGGUCACUGAGGCCUGGAGAGCUGACAAAGCCUGCCAGCUAGAAGGUGCUGGAGCGGGGAUAGGUCUAGGGCCUGGACUCUUAACCACUGCAUGGUACCCUGGGCCCCCACAGCAAGGGCGAUGUCAGUUAAGUGGGGGGCUGUAGCUGGGGUAAGGGCAGAUCCCCCAAAGGCGGCAUCGCAGGCUUUCUCUCCCACAGCUGUCCAUGAUGGGAUAUGGGUUAUUAUGGUGAUGAGGUAGAAUUGGUUGGGACUGGAGAAGUCAGCAAUGGGUUGGGGAGACCCAUUCAUAAGAUUCUCAGAGGGCAUUGUCCUCUCUGGGUGAGCCCUGGGAUGCCAUCUGGUGGGCUUCACGGUGACCACCUGGAGGUCUGCAACAAGGCCCCUCUCUCUUUCGGGCGUGGAGGAGACUCUGUGUCCGGGGAAUAGACACUUUGACCCCUCCCACAACCUGCCCCAUUCUACAGAUGAGGAAACAGGCCCAGAGAGGUGGAGUCAGGUGUCCCAAGCCACACCACCUGAAGUGACAGAGCCGGGAUUCCAACCCGGUGGCCCUUGCCUACACCCGGUGCACCGGCUGUUCUGUGGGGUUGCGUGUGCACCAGCCACAGUGCCCGACAGCCCUUACCUUAUCUGGGUGGAAGAGGAUGUUGCUUAGGCCCUGCAGACUCAACACGCGGACCUCAGGGCUGGGGUCGUGGAGGCCUUGUGCCAGCACGGUCAAGGCAGCUUGUUUGGGAAGCACCUCCAGCAGGACAGGGCUGUAGAGGAACUGAGGUGGCCCCCGGGAGGGCAGGCAGGUCACUCUUUUUUAGGCGCCUGCAUCUGUGUUGAGGGGUGGGGCUCUAGGACCGGAGUCCGGUGGGAGUUUCAGGGAGGGAGGCUGACCAGUACCCUCUGGGUAUCUUGGUGAACAAGUAUCCUGGUUCAACCCCUCAAUGUACAGCUGGGGAAACUGAGCCCCAGAAAGGGAAAGGGCCUUGCCUAAGGUCACACAGCGAGGCAAGGCCUCACUUUUAUCAAGAGCCGAGCUUGUGGGGCACCUGGGGGUAGAGCGCCCAUGGAGGGCGGCCUAGGCAGCUGGUGGGUGGGAGCUGGCAUGAGGCUUUCGCUUGGGUUCCCCUACUAGUGUCAGUUACGGAAACAGCACCCUCCUCGCCCCAGUCCCACCCCUGCCUGAGCUCACAGCUGCAAAGUGUGCCACACCCAGCGGCAUCUGCUUCUACCCAUUCCCCUUUGGCUUUACCCUGAGUCCCACAGGCAGGACAGGGCUGAAGUUGGAGCCUAGACUUGCCUGAGUCUGCACCUAGUGCCCCUGCAACUCUGCAGGGAUUGUGCCAGGGAGGGCCGAGUGGGGAGACAGGUCCCCAAAGUGUGCAGCCCCCCUCCAAGGGCUGGGAGUGGGAAGGCAGGAGUACGAGGGGGUCCGUCUGGGCAGCCUCCCCAGUCAGGGUGAGCUCUGGCAUGGGUUCUGCUGGGGUGUCAAGGAGGCUGGAGAAGGAGGCUCAGACAUCUGAGGUGCUCUCUGCUGGCCUGCAUCCCUACCUUGGUGAGGAUGAGGAUGGCCACCUUCCUCUCACGCUCCUGUGGGCUCUGCAGGCUGGGCAGCAGCUGACGCAGCACCGCUGGGAUCUGCCUGCAGUGGUUCUGCACCAUGGCCCUGCAGGGGUGGGCCUGGGCUGGUGGUCACUGCUCAGAGCCCACCCUCCUGCCCCCACCCAUCUCAUCAGGGCUGGCAUCCCGGAGGGUCCCAACGUGGCAGGCACGUUCCCACUUCCUUUCCACCCACUGGCUGCCCACUGCGUGCCAGGCUUGGGUUGGACAUGCAGGAGACAGAGAAGCAGGCACAGCCCUUGUUCCCUAGGAGGUCACAGGCCAGGGUGAGGGCCGGGGGAAGACACUGCAUCAACAGGCUCUGAGCGUGUGCCUGUGACCGGGGGCAGGGGGCCGUGUCCUGUCACUGCAGUCCAGAUACCCAGUCCCCUGGAUGGGCGUGGCCUGAAGCAGGCUGCCUCGACCUGCCCUGGCCCCACCGUACCUGGCAAGGAGGCCCACGCCCUUCGGGUAGGUGUGGAUGGUGGUGAAGAGCUCCCAGGAUCCCUGCAGCUCCAGGUGGGCAAAGUCAUGCCAGUGCCCCGUGGUGGACAGCAGGCUCUUCAGUGCCUCCAGUGACGUGCUGCAGCUGAGCAGAGGGGGCUUAGGGCUUGCCUCAGGCCACAAGCAGCCCCCUGGGCCACCCCCUGCCCUGGGAAGGGUGCCCACCUGACCCAGAUAGAAAGGCACGUUCUGGUUCCUAUGCCUGGCGUCACUGAGGCCCCCUGGGGCUACUCCCUCCUGCCCUGUUUUACGCGGAAAUGCUGGGACCCAGGAUUGGCGGAGCCGGGCCGAGCAUGGGGAGGCAGCAUGUGCCCAGUCAGACCCCGGGCCUUGCUUGGGCAGGAGACCAGGGGGUGCCCUUCUAGGGAGGGGCACUCUGCUGAAGGGCACCUGCCCUUCAGCUCAAGGAUGGCAGCAUUUAAAUAUGGGCCAAGAGUAUGGAGGGUAGCAGCGGGCGAGGGCGUGGGAGACUCAGGGCGUGUGGCGUAGCGGAGCCCAGAGAAGUGUCCAUUCUCCACUCCUGAGACUCCUGCCCUCAGAGGACAUGGAGAAACCCGCGGCACUGGCCCUCGCUUGUGAGUGACGGAGAAACCCGCGGCACUGGCCCUCGCUUGUGAGUGACGGAGAAACCCGCGGCACUGGCCCUUGCUUGUGAGUGACGGAGAAACCCACGGCACCGGCCCUCGCUUGUGAGUGCACGGCUUGUGGUGUCACCGUGUGCUUGGUAGUUGCCAGGUACCAUGGAUGGUGCCUCACCUGCCCAGCCUGAGGUGGCCCUCUACUGUCGCUGUCCUUCAGCAGAGGAGGGAGCAGUCCUGUCACACAGCCUGGGCAAGGGCACAGAGGUGGGGUCAAGCUGGGCCCUGGCUCCAAACCUGCCAGUGAUGUCACUGUCACAGGAUGUCACUGUCACUGAACGCAGUCCCUGGGGCACAGGUAGAAAGCCCCAGAAUGCAGGCCCAUGAAACAUGAGAUGGCCCUGGCUUGCUGGCCUGUCUCACUGUUCCAGCCACACACCCCUGGCCCGGCCCCUGUGCUCGGUCAGUGUAAGUGCAUCACCCUGGAUGUGUGAGCAUGCCUGGACGAGGCUGUCAGCUUGGACCAGGCACGUUUCUGAGCAGAUUUGCAAAACCAAGUGUCAAAUGAUGAAAUGCCAUCCGUGAAAGUUCUGACAGUGCCAAUCCAAAUGCCAGCUGGCUUGUCCUCUCACCCCAAGCUGUGUCAUAAAAAAAGGCAGCAUUUUCCAGGUCACUGGUCUCAGCCAUAAUGCGACAAUGGUUUUCAGAAGAAGGGGACUUGGUGGGGGGAGUGGCAUUUUGUUUGCUCUGGGAGGACUCCAGAAGCUUCUGGUCCUGUGACUUCUUGGGCACUGUAUUGGCUUGUUCUUCAAGAUUGCCUUGUCCCUGCAGCCCCAGCAGGGCUUCCAGAAAGAUGGGCUGAUUCAGCAUUCUUGGGAAUCCAUGCCCAACUCCCCUGCAGGUCCAUAGAACACAAAACCACCUCCAGCCCAGGACCCCCGGCAAUGCUCAAGGACAUGUGUCUCCUGAAAUCCAUACGCAGUCCCAAGACCGAUGAAGGUGGAGCCCCUUGAGUCUCUGCCUCGCUGUGGACUCAAGGAACCAUCCUCCGUUCCUGCUGGUCUCAACGUCGUUGCCUGCCUGCAGCCUCUUUGGACACUUGGCAUCCCAGUGAUGCCUGCCCCAUACUCGACCAACCGUCCUUUCCCCACUCUGGCCCCGGAGAGGGCAAAGGCACCUGAGAAAGAGGAGGCAAAGCCCCUCUGCUUUCCAUACUCCUCCCCAGCCUGAGGGUCCAUGAGACCCUCUUCCCUCUCCCAUUACCUCCUCCUCUUCUGGUUUUAUUUUUAAUUGUGGUAAAAUGCACAUCUCAUACAAUUUACCGUUUUAAGUGUACAGGUCAGUGGCAUUGAGCAUAUUCAUAAUAUUAUGCAACCAUCACCACCAUCCAUCUCCAGAACAUUCUCAUCUUCCCACACUGAAACUCUGUCCCCAUUAAACAUUAACUCCCCAUUCUCCCUCCAUCCAGCCCCUGGCACCCAGCAUUCUACUUUCUGUCUCUGUAGAUUUGGCUACUCAUGGACCUUAAGUAGGUGGACUCACACAGUAUUUGACUCAGCAGAAUGUGCUCAAGGUUCAUCCAUGUUGUAGCAUCAGAAUUUCCUUCCUUUUCAAGGCUGAAUAGUAUUCCAUUGUAUGGAUGGACCACACUGCUUAUUCUAAUUCACCCAUUGAUGAACACUUGUGUUGCUUCUACCUUUUGGUUAUCAUAACACUGCUGUGAGCAGGGCGUACAAAUAUCUGUCCCAGGUGCCUGCUUUCCUUUCUUUUGGGUGUACACCCAUUAGUGGAAUUCCUGGGCCAUAUGGUAAUUCUAUAUUUAAUUUUUGGAGGAACUUCCAUACUCUGUUCCAAAGCAGCUGCACCGUUUUACAUUCCCACCAACAGUGCACAAGGCUUCUGAUUUCUCCACAUCCUCGCCAACACUCAUUUUCUGAUUUUUUUUUGGACAGUAGCCAACCUAAUGGGUGUGAAGUUCCUCCUCUUCUUUUGAUCACAAGCCUUUGGCCCCAAAUCCCCAGGGGACAGAGGGAAAGAUGAAGAUGAGAUGAGGGUGAGAAUGAUGAGUGCCUUCGAAAUAAAGAGAAACGAUGUAGCCCAUUUGAAUUAAAUAGAGUUGGCCCACAUGGAUGACGUGUGAGAACAAUGAGAAUUCCUUUGUGGGGCAGGGUGGAGACUGGCUGGAGGAGGACCCAGCUGAGAACUGACCAACGCAGGAAACAUCUCUAAGGAAAAGGCUUUGUUAGUGGAGGAGCAGGGGAGAGGGAGGCCCCUCUGGCAGGCCUGGCAGCACCUGUUGCAGUCCUGCCCAGGGAAGGGUGCCCUGCUCAACCCCACUCGCUGCUUCCUGGUCCCAGAGGCCUGUCCAUCUAAGCAGGACAUGAGAACUUCAGAGGCCCAGGGCUGGCCCCAUCAGGCCUCAAGACUCCCCUGCUGCCCCAUGGUGUCCUGUGCCGCCCCCACCGUUUUGGGCAUGCAGAGAGAGUGGCUACUCAGCACUGCUCAUCCAGUUGUCCUUCUGGGCCCCUGUCCCCACCUUGACAGUGCCACAGCAGCCUGGCAGGGACCUCAGACCGUGAGCCACCGGGAUACACCUGGGUGUCACUCUGCUCUCAGGCCUCCCUUUCUCCCUGGCUCCGUGGUGGUGCUGGGUGGCAUGGCUGCUGGUUUGGCAACCGGAGCCUGGGCCCCUUCGCGGUGGUCGAAGAGGCCUGGGCCCAUGCCGCUCCCUGGAGGGCGUGGGAGCCAGGCCUGGCCAGUCAGAGCCGCACAGGCCCCUGUGGCCAAGGUGAUUGGUUCAGGAUUGGGUAUGUGAGCAAAGCUAGGCCAAUCAGAGCCCAGGACUGUGCCCGUGGUGAGAGUUUUUUCUCUUGGGGCUGCGGGAGCUGCCGGGGCCACCUCCAGGGCUCCAGGAGAACCUGCCCGGAGCGGCCUGAGCAGAAACCACCCGUGGCCCCGCGCGAGGCAGAAGUCCCUGCUAUAUGGGGAGCCUGAGAGAGACAGACAGACGUCCCAGCUGUAUGGGGAGCCCGAGAGAGAGACACGUCCUUGCCGGUGGGGGAACCCACGAGAGACAGAUGUCUCAGCUGUAUGAGGAGCCCCCAGUGAGACAGACGUCCCAGCUGUAUGAGGAGCCCGAGAGAGACAGACAGACGUCCCAGCUGUAUGGGGAGCCCGAGAGAGACAGACAGACGUCCCAGCUGUAUGAGGAGCCCGAGAGAGACAGACGUCCCAGCUGUAUGAGGAGCCCGAGAGAGACAGACGUCCCAGCUGUAUGAGGAGCCCGAGAGAGACAGACAGACGUCCCAGCUGUAUGAGGAGCCCGAAAGAGACAGACAGACGUCCCAGCUGUAUGAGGAGCCCGAGAGAGACAGACGUCCCAGCUGUAUGAGGAGCCCGAGAGAGACAGACGUCCCAGCUGUAUGAGGAGCCCGAGAGAGACAGACGUCCCAGCUGUAUGAGGAGCCCGAGAGAGACAGACAGACGUCCCAGCUGUAUGAGGAGCCCGAAAGAGACAGACAGACGUCCCAGCUGUAUGAGGAGCCCGAGAGAGACAGACGUCCCAGCUGUAUGGGGAGCCCGAGAGAGAUAGACAGACGUCCCAGCUGUAUGGGGAGCCCAAGAGAGAUAGACAGACGUCCCAGCUGUAUGGGGAGCCCAAGAGAGAUAGACAGACGUCCCAGCUGUAUGAGGAGCCCGAGACAGACAGAUGUCCCAGCUGUAUGAGGGGCCUGAGAGAGACAGACGUCCUUGCUGGUGGGGGAACCCGCGAGAGACAGAUGUCUCAGCCGCAUGGGGAGGUCCCAGUGAGACAGACAGACAUUCCCGCUGUAUGGGGAGCCCCCAGUGAGACAGACAGACAUUCCCGCUGUAUGGGGAGCCCCCAGUGAGACAGACAGACAUUCCCGCUGUAUGGGGAGCCCCCAGUGAGACAGACAGACGUCCUUGCUGUAUGGGGAGCCCCCAGUGAGACAGACAGACGUCCUUGCUGUAUGGGGAGCCCGCGAGAGACAGACAGAUGUCUCUGGCUCUUCGGGACCUUCCAGUCUAUGGGUGAGGGCAGUAAAGCAGGUAAAAGGCGCAGAUCACAGAUGGUAGCUGAUGGCGGGGCUGCGGCGAGAAUAAAGCAGCAGAGGGUGGGAGGCGCCGAAGGGGCUGCUAUUUUGGAGGGUGGUGGGGGAGGCCUCAGUGAGGUGCGGGUGAGCAGAGCCUGCAGAGACAGGAUGGCUGGGGGAAGAACAUUCCAGCAGGGGGAGGAGCAGACGGGGUGAGGCUUUCUCCCAACCCUCCCACGUUCCGGGAGGAGAAGGUUUUAUUAGCUUAUUAGGAAAGAUUCAUGCAUUUUGCAUGGUUGAACUGAAUAAAAAAGGAACUUCGUGCACAUUUGAAUUCGGAGGCAAGAUGAGAAGAAGUGGCAUUUUUUUUAAGUGACUUGCCUUGGGGAGAGCUGUUAAAACUGACAAAUUGCGUGACGCACAUCAUAAUACAAACAAAUGAAAAGAGUUGGCCCCAGCGGUUUUUAGACUUGCUUAUUGGAUUUUUGGAAAUAUGACCUGGUGCAGAGGGAAGAUGAAGGCAGGCAGCCCUACUGAGGCCAGAAUACGGUGGGCGGGGGAGCGGGCAACUGGCCGUGAUGUCAGCCUGAGCAUGUGCUGAGGACCAAUGAGAUGCCCAAGAGGGCAUGGAAAGGCAUCUGCCCCAUGGGUGAGCCCAGUUCGCCUCUGCAUGGACAUGCUGUGUGGCCCAGGGGAAGCCUCUGACCCUCUCUGAGCCUCAGUUGCCUCAUCUGUAGAGCAGGGACAACGACAUUCAUCUCGAGUCCUCGCAGGAAACCCACUGGGAUAUAAUCUCUGCUGCUCCCCAUCCUGCCUCAUGCCCCAGGAAGCUGACCUGUAUACACUGCAUCAAGAAGCUCUCUUGACCUUUGGCUUCCAGUUGACUUGGCUAAUGAACUUGCCAGACACCUGAACCUUCAACAGCCACCACCCUGACCAGUCAGCAGUCCUCACCACCCACCAGCAAGAGGAUCCCGACUUGCUGAAGGCUCAGA
This is a long non-coding RNA of Homo sapiens (human), 8329 nucleotides long. RefSeq lists it as uncharacterized. Lineage: Eukaryota; Metazoa; Chordata; Mammalia; Primates; Hominidae. The transcript is spliced from 3 exons. The record is from RefSeq and is a predicted model, not a curated record.